RNAcentral lists this ribosomal RNA (463 nucleotides) under uncultured bacterium. RNAcentral describes it as "bacterial SSU rRNA". It matches the Rfam family "Bacterial small subunit ribosomal RNA", at positions 335 to 798 of the family's 1533-position model. The record is from RNAcentral.
ACUCCUACGGGAGGCAGCAGUGAGGAAUAUUGGACAAUGGUCGGAAGACUGAUCCAGCCAUGCCGCGUGCAGGAAGACUGCCCUAUGGGUUGUAAACUGCUUUUAUACAGGAAGAAUAAGCUCUACGAGUAGAGUGAUGACGGUACUGUAAGAAUAAGCAUCGGCUAACUCCGUGCCAGCAGCCGCGGUAAUACGGAGGAUGCAAGCGUUAUCCGGAAUCAUUGGGCGUAAAGCGCGUGUAGGUGGCUUGUUAAGCCAGAUGUGAAAGCCGCGUCAACCUGGGAACUGCAUUUGGAACUGGCAGGCUAGAGUUUUGUAGAGGGUGGUAGAAUUUCAGGUGUAGCGGUGAAAUGCGUAGAGAUCUGAAGGAACACCGGUGGCGAAGGCGACCACCUGGCCAAUAACUGACACUGAGACGCGAAGGCGUGGGUAGCAAACGGGAUUAGAUACCCUGGUAGGCUCU